UUGAAGAGAGAGUUCAAAGGACGUGAAACCGUAUGGUGAAUAAACGAUCUGUAGGCUCUAUUGGCGUUGAUUCAGCACUGCUUCUGCAGUGUGCAUUUCUGCGCCAGUUCUGACGGGAUAUCCGACGCAUGAAAGCUUCAGGGGCGGACUGUGUAUGCAGUGACCUACUGGGGCUGAAUUGUAUCGGUGUCUUUGCUAGCUUUGUGUGCGUAGAAGUCACGCUAAGAUGCUUUCCAGGGGCUGCUCCGGCAGUGUUUGGCUAGCUUCUUAUGUUUGUCCUCGCUGACUAGGCUUCAGAAUAUGAGCUGUGCAGAUCGACCCGUCUUGAAACACGGACCAAGGAGUCUAAAUUGUGCGCAAGCCAUUGGAUGUUAAAUCCACAGGCGAAACGAAAGUAAUUCGUGGGAUGUUUUCCGCACCUCGAUCGUGUGCAACGCUUGCGUUGUGCCCAGAACGAGUGCACAGAUUAGUACCCGAAAGAUGGUGAACUAUGCUUGAGCAGGAUGAAGCCAGAGGAAACUCUGGUGGAAGUCCGAAGCGGUUCUGACGUGCAAAUCGAUCGUCAGACUUGAGUAUAGGGGCGAAAGACUAAUCGAACCAUC
RNAcentral lists this ribosomal RNA (602 nucleotides) under Halalaimus sp. Cr62. RNAcentral's name for it is "eukaryotic LSU rRNA". It matches the Rfam family "Eukaryotic large subunit ribosomal RNA", at positions 376 to 944 of the family's 3401-position model. The record is from RNAcentral. Lineage: Eukaryota; Metazoa; Nematoda; Enoplea; Enoplida; Oxystominidae.